GGUGGACGGUCCACUCGCCAACCGGGUCAGGUCCGGAAGGAAGCAGCCCUAACGAGCCCGGAACGGGUCAUUGUU
Molecule: signal recognition particle RNA, 75 nt
Filed under: Mesorhizobium sp.
Lineage: Bacteria; Pseudomonadati; Pseudomonadota; Alphaproteobacteria; Hyphomicrobiales; Phyllobacteriaceae
Description: signal recognition particle sRNA small type
Rfam family: Bacterial small signal recognition particle RNA
About the family: The signal recognition particle (SRP) is a universally conserved ribonucleoprotein involved in the co-translational targeting of proteins to membranes. Archaeal SRP consists of a 7S RNA and homologues of the eukaryotic SRP19 and SRP54 proteins. In most bacteria, the SRP consists of a 4.5S RNA and the Ffh protein (a homologue of the eukaryotic SRP54 protein).
Source: RNAcentral